GUGAACGCUGGCGGUAGGCCUAACACAUGCACGUCGAACGGCAGCACAGUAAGAGCUUGCUCUUACGGGUGGCGAGUGGCGGACGGGUGAGGAAUACAUCGGAAUCUACUUUUUCGUGGGGGAUAACGUAGGGAAACUUACGCUAAUACCGCAUACGACCUACGGGUGAAAGCAGGGGAUCUUCGGACCUUGCGCGAUUGAAUGAGCCGAUGUCGGAUUAGCUAGUUGGCGGGGUAAAGGCCCACCAAGGCGACGAUCCGUAGCUGGUCUGAGAGGAUGAUCAGCCACACUGGAACUGAGACACGGUCCAGACUCCUACGGGAGGCAGCAGUGGGGAAUAUUGGACAAUGGGCGCAAGCCUGAUCCAGCCAUACCGCGUGGGUGAAGAAGGCCUUCGGGUUGUAAAGCCCUUUUGUUGGGAAAGAAAAGCGGCAGGUUAAUACCCCGCUGUUCUGACGGUACCCAAAGAAUAAGCACCGGCUAACUUCGUG
This 491-nucleotide ribosomal RNA is filed under the name uncultured bacterium. RNAcentral's name for it is "partial 16S ribosomal RNA". It matches the Rfam family "Bacterial small subunit ribosomal RNA", at positions 29 to 507 of the family's 1533-position model. The record is from RNAcentral.